UACGAAGGGGGCUAGCGUUGUUCGGAAUUACUGGGCGUAAAGCGCGCGCAGGCGGUCUUCCAAGUCAGUGGUGAAAGCCCGGAGCUCAACUCCGGAACUGCCAUUGAAACUGUUAGACUUGAGGAUGAGAGAGGUGAGUGGAAUUCCCAGUGUAGAGGUGAAAUUCGUAGAUAUCGGGAGGAACACCAGUGGCGAAGGCGGCGACCUGGACAGAUAUUGACGCUGAGGUGCGAAAGCGUGGGGAGCAAACAGG
Molecule: ribosomal RNA, 253 nt
Filed under: uncultured bacterium
Lineage: Bacteria
Description: partial 16S ribosomal RNA
Rfam family: Bacterial small subunit ribosomal RNA
Source: RNAcentral